Long non-coding RNA from Myzus persicae (green peach aphid), 2621 nucleotides. RefSeq lists it as uncharacterized. NCBI's taxonomy places the organism in Eukaryota, Metazoa, Arthropoda, Insecta, Hemiptera, Aphididae. The record is from RefSeq and is a predicted model, not a curated record. The transcript has 2 exons.
UUGCAUAUUUUGAAGAAUUUUUAGAUUUUAUGGGAUAUUUUGCAAUUUCAUCUGUUUUUGAAGCAAAAUUUUUUAUUGCCAGGAAAUUGUAUUUUAGUAAACGUGUUUUUAGAUUACUGUCAAUCGAAUUGGCAAAGUAUAUUAUAAUACCAAUACAGAUGAAGUAAAUGGACUGAUUACGCGAAAAAGCUGAUACUUAAUAAUUUAUACUCAUAAUUUCGUAGUAUUUGGUUCAAAUGUUUAACUUUUGUUAUCUACUGAUUUUGUUGGUGUUUUUUUUUUGUCGAUCUCUACUGCGAUUAUCAUUGAACGAAUGUUAAAUGCGUUGUAUACUCUAUACCCGAACAGUUUGGUCAGUAAUUUUCCUUUAAACUCACUAUACCAUCGUUUACAUACAGUUAUUACUUGUCAUACAUAUUAUUACACCGGUACGAACUUAUUGCUAUUUUCUCAUAUUUAAUUAAAUUAUAGUUCAUUGCAGAAACAAUCGUUGAGUCACGUCCGUUAUAGGUCGGAUGCCCGGGCCUAUCACGCGGAUGUCUAAUUGUUAUUAUUAUUAUUGGACUUCCACAGGAUUGGCGGCGGCGGAGACUUGUCGCUAAUCUAGCGGGCGCCGAUUACCGGUCUUCAGGUGAAAAAAACCAUUUUUUUUUAAUCCAAUCGGCUCUUUUAAAAUUCGUCCAUUUACAUCGUUUUCGUCGCGUGUUAAAUUGGCAAAGGGAUUAUACGAAAAGCACAUAAUUAUUUUUAUGUAUUAUGAAAUUAUUUACAGCGACGAACUGGCCCGAUGGUGUACCUAUAGCGGUUAAAAUAUAUGACUAUAGACGGUUCUGCAUGUGAAUUCAAAUUUCCAACGACGGCGAGCGGCUUACCCACACUGCCGACUGUUUAAGGUCGUAGCCUAGUUAAAUAAUAAAAAUAUCAUGUCCAUCGCACAUUUUAUCGACUACGAUAUUUUUGAAAAUAAAACGUCUAGUAAGGUGUCUCUAAUAUUAGUUAUAAGACAACUACAACAGUAGAAUUUAAUAACAUCUGACAACCAACUCGCAUGAGAGUAUGUGAGUACCUCGAAUGUGACCGUGGAAAUUAUUUAAAAUUUCGAAGAUGUGAUGUGUGUUGGCUGUUAACGGAUUUACUUGGCGGUGUCGAACAAGCAGCCACGAUAAACAAAAAAAAAAAUUGUUACUACGCGGUCCAUAAGAAUGGAUAUAUUUUUUAAUAGAACACAUUUAUCUCUAUACCAAAUAAUAUCUUUUGCAUAUUUAUGGCUUGAAAAUGUUACAUUAUCGUUAAUCAAAAAUCAAAUAAACACUUCUUAACCAUCCGCUGUUGACUGGACACAUUCCACCGUGAAAUUACGUUCGAUGCUAUGAUUACAAGCAAUACAAAAAAUGGUUAGUUUUUAUUUUGCUCCGCUCAGAACCGUUUUCCGUACCUAUACAAUAAUUUCUCAUUGAGUUCAUAUUAUUCAAUCCAAGUGAAUUGACCUUAAACGUUUUAUACUCUAUAAUAGCAGGGGUGGCCAAUAUGAAUAUGUUCGCGAGCCAUAUGGAUAAAUACAAUGAUAUCAAGAGCCAAAAUGUUUAUAAAUACAUUUUAUAAUUUUUAUAAUUUUAUCUAAGUAAUAAAGAUAGCUAACAACUGAUAAACACACCAGAUUACGCAUAAGAAUUGACCUAUAAAUGUUUGCAAAAAAAAAAAAAUCAUAAUAAUAAGUACAUUUUUGGUUUUUGUUAAUAAGACGCGUGCCGCAUGAGACUAUGACACAAUAAUAAACCGCAAGUCGGUCACUCCUGCUCUAUAGCUUUAAACAACACUAUGCCGAAAAAAAAUGACAUGGCUAAUCAAUUAUAUAAUAUGGAGAUACCGCAACCAUGAUUUUUGUCAUAAUAUUAUGUAUCAACAGCGCGAUUUGGCACAGCAGCGAAACCAUCUAGCUUGGAGCUAUAGUUACCACAUUUCUGCAGCUGUCGGAGAUAGUGAGAACGAAAGUAAUGGCUAAUCGUGGAGUACUAUCGUAGGUAUAUGUUAAAUACCUUAAAUUACGCUAAAGUUUAAAUGUUAUUACGGAGUCAUUCAACUAGCGGAAUCCUACUCUGGCGAUGGACUGAAACACUAUCAUCAGCACUGCAGCUGUACAUCAUAUAAGACGUAACAAGUAUCACAUUGUUCAUUUACUUCAAAAUCAUAUUAUAAUUUUCGUACAAAAAAUUAAUAUAUAAUAUAAAUGUAAGUCAUUUUUCAGUGCUAGGGGAAUCCAAAAGUGCAACACAACAAAUAUUUAUUUUAAGAUUUAAAUGUCUUGUUGAUUAGAAAGGGUACCCUAAUCCAUCUACGUUCAAGAAUUUAUAAGUUGAGCGAAAAAAGUCUCGAUCAUACUAUUGUGUCAUCAAUCACCAUACAUAGUGCAGUGCUGCCACUGCUGCCACUGCUGCGUGAAGCUAUAAGAAACGAUUGUCGAGGAAAGUCGUUAUUAUAUUAGAUACCUAUUUAUUAUAGAAGAUUUCUAGUCGAUAAAAGUAUCAAUAUUUUAUUAUAAUUUAUUGUUGUCGUUGGUGCAACCCACGACAUAGGUACAAAAUAAUAAUACAUAUUUAUACAUUAUAUAUAGGUAUUAUAUA